UAGAGUUUGAUCCUGGCUCAGAAUCAACGCUGGCGGCGCGCUUAACACAUGCAAGUCGAACGAGAAAGGGGAGCAAUCCCUGAGUAAAGUGGCGUACGGGUGAGUAACACGUGGGUAAUCUGCUCUUUGGAGGGGAAUAACCCUGGGAAACCGGGGCUAAUACCGCAUAAGCCUGGAAAGGGAAAGGUCGCAAGAUCGCCGAAGAAGGAGCCCGCGGCUGAUUAGCUAGUUGGUGGGGUAAAGGCUCACCAAGGCGAAGAUCGGUAGCCGGCCUGAGAGGGCACACGGCCACACUGGCACUGAAACACGGGCCAGACUCCUACGGGAGGCAGCAGUGGGGAAUCUUGCACAAUGGGGGAAACCCUGAUGCAGCGACGCCGCGUGAGCGAUGAAGCCCUUCGGGGUGUAAAGCUCUUUCGGCCCGAACGAUAAUGACGGUACGGGAAGAAGAAGCUGCGGCUAACUACGUGCCAGCAGCCGCGGUAAUACGUAGGGGGCAAGCGUUGUCCGGAUUUACUGGGCGUAAAGAGCGUGUAGGCGGCCAAGCAGGUCUGUUGUGAAAACUGGAGGCUCAACUUCCAGACGUCGACAGAAACCGCUUGGCUAGAGUCCGGAAGAGGAGAGUGGAAUUCCUGGUGUAGCGGUGAAAUGCGCAGAUAUCAGGAAGAACACCAAUGGCGAAGGCAGCUCUCUGGGACGGUACUGACGCUGAGACGCGAAAGCGUGGGGAGCGAACAGGAUUAGAUACCCUGGUAGUCCACGCCGUAAACGAUGGGUGCUAGGUGUGGGAGGUGUCGACUCCUUCCGUGCCGCAGCUAACGCAUUAAGCACCCCGCCUGGGGAGUACGGCCGCAAGGCUAAAACUCAAAGGAAUUGACGGGGCCCCGCACAAGCAGCGGAGCAUGUUGUUUAAUUCGAUGCAACCGCGAAGAACCUUACCAGGGCUUGACAUGCACUGGAAAACCGUAGAAAUACGGUCCUCCUUCGGGACUAGUGCACAGGUGGUGCAUGGCUGUCGUCAGCUCGUGUCGUGAGAUGUUGGGUUAAGUCCCGCAACGAGCGCAACCCCUGUCCCAUGUUGCCAGCGAGUUAUGUCGGGGACUCAUGGGAAACUGCCGGUGACAAAUCGGAGGAAGGUGGGGAUGAUGUCAAGUCAUCAUGCCCCUUAUGUCCUGGGCUACAAACGUGCUACAUUGGCCGGUACAAAGGGCUGCAAACUCGCGAGGGUGAGCGAAUCCCAAAAAGCCGGUCCCGGUUCGGAUUGAAGGCUGAAACUCGCCUUCAUGAAGGCGGAGUUGCUAGUAAUCGCGGAUCAGCAACGCCGCGGUGAAUACGUACACGGGGCUUGUACACACCGCCCGUCACACCACGAAAGUCGGCAAUACCCGAAGCCGGUGAGCUAACCGCAAGGAGGCAGCCGUCGAAGGUAGGGUCGAUGAUUGGGGUGAAGUCGUAACAAGGUAACCGUA
RNAcentral lists this ribosomal RNA (1469 nucleotides) under uncultured bacterium. RNAcentral describes it as "partial 16S ribosomal RNA". It matches the Rfam family "Bacterial small subunit ribosomal RNA". The record is from RNAcentral.